GGAGCUGUAACUCAGCUGGUAGAGUGGCAGAUUGCAACGUUAAAUGUAGCAAUUUAUCUGUAAGUCCCGCGUUCGAGUCGCGGCAGUUCCU
Molecule: transfer RNA, 91 nt
Filed under: Aspergillus melleus
Lineage: Eukaryota; Fungi; Ascomycota; Eurotiomycetes; Eurotiales; Aspergillaceae
Description: tRNA-Cys
Rfam family: tRNA
About the family: Transfer RNA (tRNA) molecules are approximately 80 nucleotides in length. Their secondary structure includes four short double-helical elements and three loops (D, anti-codon, and T loops). Further hydrogen bonds mediate the characteristic L-shaped molecular structure. tRNAs have two regions of fundamental functional importance: the anti-codon, which is responsible for specific mRNA codon recognition, and the 3' end, to which the tRNAs corresponding amino acid is attached (by aminoacyl-tRNA synthetases). tRNAs cope with the degeneracy of the genetic code in two manners: having more than one tRNA (with a specific anti-codon) for a particular amino acid; and 'wobble' base-pairing, i.e. permitting non-standard base-pairing at the 3rd anti-codon position.
Source: RNAcentral